Molecule: ribosomal RNA, 468 nt
Filed under: uncultured bacterium
Lineage: Bacteria
Description: partial 16S ribosomal RNA
Rfam family: Bacterial small subunit ribosomal RNA
Source: RNAcentral
GACGAACGCUGGCGGCGUGCUUAACACAUGCAAGUCGAACGGAAAGGCCCUGCUUUUGUGGGGUGCUCGAGUGGCGAACGGGUGAGUAACACGUGAGUAACCUGCCCUUGACUUUGGGAUAACUUCAGGAAACUGGGGCUAAUACCGGAUAGGAGCUCCUGCUGCAUGGUGGGGGUUGGAAAGUUUCGGCGGUUGGGGAUGGACUCGCGGCUUAUCAGCUUGUUGGUGGGGUAGUGGCUUACCAAGGCUUUGACGGGUAGCCGGCCUGAGAGGGUGACCGGCCACAUUGGGACUGAGAUACGGCCCAGACUCCUACGGGAGGCAGCAGUGGGGAAUAUUGCACAAUGGGCGGAGGCCUGAUGCAGCAACGCCGCGUGCGGGAUGACGGCCUUCGGGUUGUAAACCGCUUUCGCCUGUGACGAAGCGUGAGUGACGGUAAUGGGUAAAGAAGCACCAGCUAACUACGUG